UGGGGAAUAUUGGACAAUGGGCGCAAGCCUGAUCCAGCCACGCCGCGUGAGUGAUGAAGGCCUUCGGGUCGUAAAGCUCUGUGGGGAGGGACGAACGACCGGAUGAAGAAUCCGGGUUGACGGUACCUCCUUAGCAAGCACCGGCUAACUCUGUGCCAGCAGCCGCGGUAAUACAGAGGUCUCAAGCGUUGUUCGGAUUCAUUGGGCGUAAAGGGUGUGUAGGUGGCGCCGUAAGUCGGGUGUGAAAUUUCGAGGCUUAACCUCGAAACUGCAGUCGAUACUGCGGUGCUUGAGGACUGGAGAGGAGACUGGAAUUCAUGGUGUAGCAGUGAAAUGCGUAGAUAUCAUGAGGAAGACCAGUGGCGAAGGCGGGUCUCUGGACAGUUCCUGACACUGAGACACGAAGGCCAGGGGAGCAAACGG
This 423-nucleotide ribosomal RNA is filed under the name uncultured bacterium. RNAcentral describes it as "bacterial SSU rRNA". It matches the Rfam family "Bacterial small subunit ribosomal RNA", at positions 355 to 775 of the family's 1533-position model. The record is from RNAcentral.